RNAcentral lists this ribosomal RNA (521 nucleotides) under uncultured Glomeraceae. RNAcentral's name for it is "SSU rRNA". It matches the Rfam family "Eukaryotic small subunit ribosomal RNA", at positions 569 to 1092 of the family's 1831-position model. Lineage: Eukaryota; Fungi; Glomeromycota; Glomeromycetes; Glomerales; Glomeraceae. The record is from RNAcentral.
AGCAGCCGCGGUAAUUCCAGCUCCAAUAGCGUAUAUUAAAGUUGUUGCAGUUAAAAAGCUCGUAGUUGAAUUUCGGGGUCAAUACGUCGGUCGUGCCUCGGUACGCACUAACGUUAUUGAUUCCUCCCUUCUGACGAACCGUGAUGUCAUUAAUUUGGUGUUGUGGGGAAUCAGGACUGUUACCUUGAAAAAAUUAGAGUGUUUAAAGCAGGCAAUCGCUCGAAUACAUUAGCAUGGAAUAAUGAAAUAGGACGUUCGAACCUAUUUUGUUGGUUUCUAGGAUCGACGUAAUGAUUGAUAGGGAUAGUUGGGGGCAUUAGUAUUCAAUUGUCAGAGGUGAAAUUCUUGGAUUUAUUGAAGACUAACUACUGCGAAAGCAUUUGCCAAGGAUGUUUUCAUUAAUCAAGAACGAAAGUUAGGGGAUCGAAGACGAUCAGAUACCGUCGUAGUCUUAACCAUAAACUAUGCCGACUAGGGAUCGGAUGAUGUUAAUUUUUUAAUGACUCAUUCGGCGUCUUACG